CUACGUGCCAGCAGCCGCGGUAAUACGGAGGGUGCGAGCGUUAAUCGGAAUAACUGGGCGUAAAGGGCACGCAGGCGGUGACUUAAGUGAGGUGUGAAAGCCCCGGGCUUAACCUGGGAAUUGCAUUUCAUACUGGGUCGCUAGAGUACUUUAGGGAGGGGUAGAAUUCCACGUGUAGCGGUGAAAUGCGUAGAGAUGUGGAGGAAUACCGAAGGCGAAGGCAGCCCCUUGGGAAUGUACUGACGCUCAUGUGCGAAAGCGUGGGGAGCAAACAGGACUAGAUACCCUGGUAGUCCACGCUGUAAACGAUGUCGAUUUGGGGGUUGAACUUUAAGUUUGGCGCCCGUAGCUAACGUGAUAAAUCGACCGCCUGGGGAGUACGGCCGCAAGGUUAAAACUCAAAUGAAUUGACGGGGGCCCGCACAAGCGGUGGAGCAUGUGGUUUAAUUCGACGCAACGCGAAGAACCUUACCAGGUCUUGACAU
This 485-nucleotide ribosomal RNA is filed under the name uncultured bacterium. Its description in RNAcentral is "bacterial SSU rRNA". It matches the Rfam family "Bacterial small subunit ribosomal RNA", at positions 501 to 987 of the family's 1533-position model. The record is from RNAcentral.